AAUUAACCUAACAAAAUUGUCUGCCAGAGAACUACUAGCAACAGCUUAAAACUCAAAGGACUUGGCGGUGCUU
Molecule: ribosomal RNA, 73 nt
Filed under: Bassariscus astutus (ringtail)
Lineage: Eukaryota; Metazoa; Chordata; Mammalia; Carnivora; Procyonidae
Description: partial 12S ribosomal RNA
Source: RNAcentral